This 18-nucleotide small RNA is filed under the name Arabidopsis thaliana (thale cress). RNAcentral describes it as "ATSL215460". Lineage: Eukaryota; Viridiplantae; Streptophyta; Magnoliopsida; Brassicales; Brassicaceae. The record is from RNAcentral.
AUAUUAAUUUUAAAAAAU